This is a small nucleolar RNA of Rhinolophus ferrumequinum (greater horseshoe bat), 98 nucleotides long. Its record names the gene SNORD21. It matches the Rfam family "Small nucleolar RNA SNORD21". Rfam says of the family: U21 is a member of the C/D class of snoRNA which contain the C (UGAUGA) and D (CUGA) box motifs. NCBI's taxonomy places the organism in Eukaryota, Metazoa, Chordata, Mammalia, Chiroptera, Rhinolophidae. The record is from Ensembl.
GCUGAAUGAUGAUACAUCCCACUAACUGAGCAGUCAGUAGUUGGUCCUUUGGUUGCAUGUGAUGCAAUUAAUUGUUUCAAGACGGGACUGAUGGCAGC